GUUAUCUCACAUAUAUAUAUUAUUAUUAUUAAGUGGUCUUGCAUAGCAAGACCACUUAUUGUUAUCUCACAUAUAUAUUAUUAUUAUUAUUAUAGCCAAAAUACAACCGUUUGAAGAUGGCAACCGCCAAAAUACUCUGACCUGUGCCAGGCUGCAGCAGCAAGUCAUGUCAUAGACAGGGCCUUUUGAACACCUGCUAAUGUUUUUAUAAAUGUAUGGUUUAAUGUAACUGUGCAACAACGUUGCAAUUAAAUGUGCCAUAUAAAUGAUAACAGUUACUCCGCCCACUCCACUUGUAGACUACUGGUGGAGGCAAGAACACUUCACACAAUUUCCCCAGAAAUUGUAGCUUUUCUAGUUCUUAUUCUUAUCAUAGCCAAAUUUGCCACCCUAACUCCUCCCACAGUUUUUACACUACAUAGACAAAAAUGUACCAAAACGUGCAGAUUGUUCCCGAUCGGAUUGCUAUUACUUUGUGGAACGUUUCGCCGAAUGGUUCACGGAAUAUCAUCGUUCUUGUGGCGCAAUUUGUCCCAUAGGAAUAAAUGGCAAAGCUAGAGUGGGAGCUGGCAAAAGCUGAAAAAUCAGGACAUGAUUUCUAAACUGCCACCACUCCCUUAUUUUCAGGCCCACCUACACAAAUCUUAUAUCAAAACGUUCAGCUAUCCCUGCUGCCACUAAACAUGUCAACGGCUAAGCCAUAGUCCUGAUAGUUUUCACAAUAUAAUCAUUUGUUUGCAACUAACGCCGUCCAUUGACAUUCAUUGAAACUUCA
Non-coding RNA from Pelobates cultripes (western spadefoot toad), 775 nucleotides. NCBI's taxonomy places the organism in Eukaryota, Metazoa, Chordata, Amphibia, Anura, Pelobatidae. The record is from the annotation of a GenBank genome assembly.